CUCAGCUGUAGUCACCUGCCUGGCUUGCCUUGCAACUAGGCAAGUGUUACACUGCUGGGAGAGAAGCAGCCAGGAGCUUGAAGGCAUU
Molecule: small nucleolar RNA, 88 nt
Filed under: Ochotona princeps (American pika)
Lineage: Eukaryota; Metazoa; Chordata; Mammalia; Lagomorpha; Ochotonidae
Description: Small nucleolar RNA SNORA74 (ENSOPRG00000023684.1)
Source: RNAcentral